RNAcentral lists this long non-coding RNA (3030 nucleotides) under Gallus gallus (chicken). Lineage: Eukaryota; Metazoa; Chordata; Aves; Galliformes; Phasianidae. The record is from RNAcentral.
UUUGGAGAAUAGCAUAUAAGAGCUGUAAACAGAGGUUGAUUGUCCGAGCUUUCUUAACCCAAUUUAGCUUGCUUUUUUCUUUUCUAUGCAAAAGAGUUCUAUUGUUAUACAGUUCAUAGUGAAACUUGCAAAACCAAAUGCAUAAUUCCCUUCUUGACGCAGAACCUGAUGUGCUGCAGAGGAGUUACGGUUUCUUUGUAUUCUGCAAGGUUAAUAUCACAUCAUAAUCCAGUAGAAGGCCCUUAAUCUUGUCAUGGAAUUUUUCUCUGUACUGGUUGAAGUGCAUAAUACUUUCCGGUUCUUCUUCAAACCAAAACUUAUCAAACUCAUAAACCAGAUAACAGUAAAACUGAUGGAAGUGUUCCAUUUGUGGCAAUCCAGGGACCAUGUUGUACAGGUGAGACUUUAAAGCACCAUUCUUAAGUAAGCUGUACGCCAUUUCAGUCAGAUUAAUUCCAACUAUUGCAUAAGAGUAUCCCAGUUUUGGGUGAUUUGAAUGAGAAAGGAUCUGACGAGCUUCGUUGGUGUAAUGCUUACUAAAAUACACCAGAUUCACUAAUCCCAGCAGGCCCAUCCCUCUGAAGUCUGUUUUGGGGUCAUCGCCUUGGAAGCCAAUGUCACACCACUGCUUCGUGAUUCUGGCCUUCAGAUUUUCGUGAGGCAUCAGCAAAUUCCAGAGCUCAAUUAACUGUUCCUCGUGUUCUUCGUUAUCUGAAUCAUAUGUGACUUUCCUCAGAUUUUCCACAUCCAAGUAAAGUUUUUUAUAACCUGUUAUCUGCAGUAAGGACAUAUGCAGAUUUGUCUUAAACCUGAUAUCCUUCUGUUCAAUUUUCUUUUCUUUCAUUACAUCUCUGACACACUUCUCUAUUUCGGUUUCAUCAGCAUUUAGGGCAUUUCUUAGAACCUUGCUUUUUGAUGAUCCCAGUGAACGUUCUAUGCCCAGCGUCCUCCGCGCGCCCUCCUUCGCGCCCUCAAAGACGCGCUGCAGCUCGCACUUCCCCGUCAGCAGCCGCCAGAGCCACUUCAGCCAGAACCGGAAGUAGCUGCUGUACAGGAACCCCCACAAGUGCACCAACAUCUCUGCCCGCGGGGAUCUCCCCUCACCGCGGAGCUGCCGGCGCCCCUCAGCCCCGCGGGCCGGCAGCGCUCGGCGCCCCGCAGCCUCCCGCCGGAAGCCGCCCGUCGCCUUCCUGACCUGGAAGUGAUGCCGGGAAGGGGGGGACGGAAGUGCCGGCUGCGGGGCCGCCGGGAGCGGCGGCGGGGAGGGAAGGGCAGGGCCGUUCCCGACGCCGUUGCCGUGUGUUGCGGACCCCGCGUGGCCGCGCGCCGGCCUCUCAGUCACGGGCUGGCACAGUGUGUCCCUCAGAGCCGACCUGCGCCAGGACAGGUGGCCGCCUCAGCCCCAGUCCGGCACCAGCGCUCACCUUCACCGCACUCCUGGUGCCUCACUGCGUGCGUUUAAUGGCUGCUUGCUGAAGUCUGUACGCAGCCGUGUGCUUGGAGAUGUGCCCCCCUCGCUGCGACCGAAGGGAAAUGUGAUCAGAAAGGAGAUGUGAAUUGGUCUGGGCUACCUGCUUGCAGGGAGGGCCUCUGCGCCGUGCCCCUCACUACAACACACUGAGGCCCUGGAGUGUGUCCAGAGAAGGGCAACAGAACUGUGAGGGGUCUGGAGCACAAGUCUGUGGGGAGCGGCUGAGGGAACUGGGAUUGAUCAGUGUGGAGUAGAGGGGGCUCAGAGGUGACCCUAUUGCUCUCUACAACUGCUUGAAAGGAGGUUGUGGCGAGAUGGGGGUCAGCCUCUUUUCUCAGGUGACAGCCAUAGGAUGAGGGGCGGUGGUCCCAAGUUGCACCAUGGGAGCUUCAGGCUGGAUGGUAGGAAAAACUUACUAGGAAGGGUGGUCGGGCACUGGAAUGGCCUGCCCAGGGAGGCGGUGCAGUCGCCAUCCCUGGAGGCAUUCAAGACACAUGGAUGUGGCACUGAGGGACAUGGUUAGUGGGCAUGGUGGGGACGGGCUGAUGAUUGGACUAGAUGAUCUUAGAGGUCUUUCCCAACCUGAUUCUGUGGAGCCUUCUUUGCCACAGGUUCGGCCCAGGUGUUUGGUUUAGUACUGGUAGGCACCUCCAUUGUAUUAUUGUGAAUGGUUAUUUUAGUAAACAUGGGUUGAACCUUCAAGACCAGCGGAAAGAAUUCCUGUUCCUCUAAAUUGUAUGCAAAAUUUGAUUGGAGAGCAAAACGGGAGCCGACAUACUUGCUUGGCCACAUUCUGAUAUGUUUCUAAAUGGCUGGAAAUAGAAGCACCUUUUGCACAGAAUCAGAAGCCACAUGGCAGGUCCGGUGGCCUGCAUCCCAAGGGUGGUUCCAGGGGUGGACCAACACAUUUGCCAUUGGCCCUUUGUAUUUUUGCUGUCACAGGGAUGCGGAGUUUCGUGUGGGGGAAUCACUGACAGGUCAGCUUCAGUUGUUUGAUUUCAAUCCUGAUUGCCUCUCUAUGGGGAGAGCUCCCUAGAUACAAGGAAAAAAUCUUUUAGAGUGAGGGUGGUGAGGCAGUGAGGUUACCUAGUGUUGUGGUUGAUGUCCUGUCCCUGGAGGCUUUCAAGGCGAGCCUGGAUAAGGCCCUGGGCAACCUGAUCUAGCUGUGGUGUCCCUGUUCACUGCAGGGGAGUUGGACUAGAUGGCCUUUGGAGUUCUCUUUUAACUCUAAGGAUUCUAUGGUUCUAUGAGAGGUGGUGUAUCUUAAGAGAUAGCAGGUGGUCAUUCAUUUUUUCCAGCGUGGCUUCUUAAAUGAGUCAUUUGACUCUUAAAACACUGGAGUGCUACAGGAUAAAAAUAAACUAGAAAGUAUUUCUCUUAUUUGGUGAUAGGAGGGUGUGAUGGUUGUGUCAGAACGAUCUUGGCUUCAGCAGCAGUGCUGUAUUACAGUUUGGGAAGACGGAGGAGUCGCAGCGACGUGAAGAAAUGCGGAGGUGUGUGAAAAUAGCACUGAAAAUGCAACUUAGAAGAAAAGACGUUCAGUUAAAGCACACGAGGAC